Molecule: transfer RNA, 98 nt
Filed under: Coemansia aciculifera
Lineage: Eukaryota; Fungi; Kickxellomycota; Kickxellomycetes; Kickxellales; Kickxellaceae
Description: tRNA-Ser
Rfam family: tRNA
About the family: Transfer RNA (tRNA) molecules are approximately 80 nucleotides in length. Their secondary structure includes four short double-helical elements and three loops (D, anti-codon, and T loops).
Source: RNAcentral
GACAACUUGGCCGAGUGGUUAAGGCGACGCCCUGCUAUUCAUCUUGCGAAGAAAGGCGUUGUGUUUUACACGCGCAGGUUCGAAUCCUGCAGUUGUCG